This 22-nucleotide microRNA is filed under the name Oryza sativa (Asian cultivated rice). RNAcentral's name for it is "osa-miR11344-5p". The record is from miRBase by way of RNAcentral. Lineage: Eukaryota; Viridiplantae; Streptophyta; Magnoliopsida; Poales; Poaceae.
UAUCUCGAGAUAUCGGUACCUC